GUGGGGAAUUUUGGACAAUGGGCGCAAGCCUGAUCCAGCCAUGCCGCGUGCGGGAAGAAGGCCUUCGGGUUGUAAACCGCUUUUGGCAGGAACGAAACGGCGACUCCUAAUACGAGUCGUUAAUGACGGUACCUGCAGAAUAAGCACCGGCUAACUACGUGCCAGCAGCCGCGGUAAUACGUAGGGUGCAAGCGUUAAUCGGAAUUACUGGGCGUAAAGCGUACGCAGGCGGCUUUGCAAGACAGGUGUGAAAUCCCCGGGCCUAACCUGGGAACUGCAUUUGUGACUGCAUGGCUAGAGUCUGUCAGAGGGGGGUGGAAUUCCACGUGUAGCAGUGAAAUGCGUAGAGAUGUGGAAGAACACCGAUGGCGAAGGCAGCCCCCUGGGAUGAGACUGACGCUCAUGUACGAAAGCGUGGGGAGCAAACAGGAUUAGAAACCCCGGUAGUCC
This 450-nucleotide ribosomal RNA is filed under the name uncultured bacterium. Its description in RNAcentral is "bacterial SSU rRNA". It matches the Rfam family "Bacterial small subunit ribosomal RNA", at positions 354 to 796 of the family's 1533-position model. The record is from RNAcentral.